This 264-nucleotide ribosomal RNA is filed under the name uncultured archaeon. RNAcentral's name for it is "partial 16S ribosomal RNA". It matches the Rfam family "Archaeal small subunit ribosomal RNA", at positions 714 to 982 of the family's 1478-position model. The record is from RNAcentral.
AGACGUCUACAUUAGAUACCCCCGUAGUCCCAGCCGUAAACUAUGCGCGUUAGGUGUAUCGGUGACCACGAGUCACCGAGGUGCCGAAGGGAAACCGUGAAACGUGCCGCCUGGGAAGUACGGUCGCAAGGCUGAAACUUAAAGGAAUUGGCGGGGAGCACCACAACGGGUGGAGCCUGCGGUUUAAUCGGACUCAACGCCGGGAAGCUCACCGGAUAAGACAGCGGAAUGAUUGCCGGGCUGAAGACUCUGCAUGACUAGCUG